GAUGAAUGCUGGCGGCGUGCCUAACACAUGCAAGUCGAGCGGCAGCGAGGGGUGCUUGCACCCUGUCGGCGAGCGGCGAACGGCUGAGUAACGCGUAGGAAUUUGCCCCAAAGUGAGGAAUAACUGCCCGAAAGGGUAGCUAAUGCCGCAUAUGGUCUUCGGAUUAAAGGAUUUAUCCGCUUUGGGAGAAGCCUGCGUUGGAUUAGGUUGUUGGUAGGGUAAUGGCCUACCAAGCCGACGAUCUAUAGCUGGUCUGAGAGGAUGAUCAGCCAGACUGGAACUGAGACACGGUCCAGACUCCUACGGGAGGCAGCAGUGAGGAAUCUUCCACAAUGGGCGAAAGCCUGAUGGAGCAACGCCGCGUGAAGGAUGAAGGCCUUCGGGUUGUAAACUUCUUUUAUGAGUGAAGAAUAUGACGGUAACUCAUGAAUAAGCACCGGCUAACUACGUG
RNAcentral lists this ribosomal RNA (451 nucleotides) under uncultured bacterium. RNAcentral's name for it is "partial 16S ribosomal RNA". It matches the Rfam family "Bacterial small subunit ribosomal RNA", at positions 28 to 507 of the family's 1533-position model. The record is from RNAcentral.